AACUUUUGGCAAUGGAUCUCUUGGCUCUCGCAUCGAUGAAGAACGCAGCGAAAUGCUAUAAGUAAUGUGAAUUGCAGAAUUCAGUGAAUCAUCGAAUCUUUGAACGCACCUUGCGCUCCUUGGUAUUCCGAGGAGCAUGCCUGUUUGAGUGUCAUUAAUAUAUAUCAACCUCUCUCUUGUUGAGUGGUUUGGAUGUGGGGGGUUUGCUGGCCUGUUCAGCUCCUCUGAAAUAUAUUAGCAGAACAAACCUGUUCAUUGGUGUGAUAACUAUCUACGCUAUUGAAUGUGAGGUGCAGUUCAGCUUUCUAACAGUCCUUGGACAAUUUAUCAUUUAUGUGACCUCAAAUCAGGUAGGACUACCCGCUGAACUUAAGCAUAUCAAUAAGCGGAGGCU
RNAcentral lists this unclassified non-coding RNA (394 nucleotides) under uncultured Cortinarius. RNAcentral's name for it is "sequence contains ITS2". The stretch from base 1 to 154 matches the Rfam family "5.8S ribosomal RNA". Lineage: Eukaryota; Fungi; Basidiomycota; Agaricomycetes; Agaricales; Cortinariaceae. The record is from RNAcentral.